RNAcentral lists this long non-coding RNA (694 nucleotides) under Cricetulus griseus (Chinese hamster). RNAcentral describes it as "lncRNA (ENSCGRG00015036743.1)". The record is from RNAcentral. Lineage: Eukaryota; Metazoa; Chordata; Mammalia; Rodentia; Cricetidae.
AGAGCUUCUCUGUUUUCGGUUUCACUUUUGGGCUUGCGUACAGACGGCUACCACGUUGGCUGGCUAAGUUGCUCUAUCCAAGCCCACAGGCCGGUAAACCUACACUUUGGUGGUCUUCUUUCCUUAGAUGAACUUCUUUGGAAUUGCCAUCAAUGUGUCUCCUAGGUGACUGUAAAUCCAGAGAAGUUGACAAUGAUGAGGCCUCAUUACACCUCCCAACUCCAAUGGACCGGGAGCCGCAGCAGCUCUCUACACACUUUAGCUCUCUUUGGACUCCUGAAAGAAUAAAGCCAUUGUUCCAGGGUGUGCAGCCCAGAAUGAGCCUGGUCCACAGCAGCGGCAUGAAUGGGAGUCUGUGGUUCUUACACACCUGGGGACCAGGUCACCUCUGUUAAGAAACACAAGGCCCUUGGCACUGAGCUUUUGGGAAUGUGCCACAUCUGCCUCUGAAUGUCUGCCUGCCUACCUUUGAUGCUGCAGUCAACACCUAACUUAAAACAAAGCAGGGCUUGAAACAGCAACUCAGAGCACAAUGGUUGUGCUCACCAGCCACCUCAGCGCUGAGUAUCAUGAACAGGAAGACCCCAAACCCCCCAAACAGCUCAACAUUUCAAGACAGGGCUAACCAAUUUUCAUUCAGGGGACGAGAAAGAACAGUGCUACAUCAGAGAGGAAGAAAGGAAUAAAUGAUGAU